RNAcentral lists this ribosomal RNA (253 nucleotides) under uncultured bacterium. RNAcentral describes it as "partial 16S ribosomal RNA". It matches the Rfam family "Bacterial small subunit ribosomal RNA", at positions 524 to 776 of the family's 1533-position model. The record is from RNAcentral.
UACGAGGGGGGCGAGCGUUGUUCGGAAUUAUUGGACGUAAAGGGUGCGUAGGCGGUUUGUCGCGUCUGCUGUGAAAACCCGAGGCUCAACCUCGGGCCUGCAGUGGGUACUGGCAGACUAGAGUGCGGUAGGGGAGAUUGGAAUUCCUGGUGUAGCGGUGGAAUGCGCAGAUAUCAGGAGGAACACCAAUGGCGAAGGCAGAUCUCUGGGCCGUAACUGACGCUGAGGAGCGAAAGCAUGGGGAGCGAACAGG